AGGACGAACGCUGGCGGCGUGCUUAACACAUGCAAGUCGAGCGGAAAGGCCCUUCGGGGUACUCGAGCGGCGAACGGGUGAGUAACACGUGAGUAAUCUGCCCCUAGCUCUGGGAUAGCUCCGGGAAACCGGGAUUAAUACCAGAUACGACCACUUUAGACAUCUUCUGUGGUGGAAAGAACUUCGGCUAGGGAUGAACUCGCGGCCUAUCAGCUUGUGGUGAGGUAACGGCUCACCAAGGCGACGACGGGUA
This 253-nucleotide ribosomal RNA is filed under the name uncultured bacterium. Its description in RNAcentral is "partial small subunit ribosomal RNA". It matches the Rfam family "Bacterial small subunit ribosomal RNA", at positions 26 to 285 of the family's 1533-position model. The record is from RNAcentral.